This 228-nucleotide long non-coding RNA is filed under the name Mytilus galloprovincialis (Mediterranean mussel). Lineage: Eukaryota; Metazoa; Mollusca; Bivalvia; Mytilida; Mytilidae. The record is from RNAcentral.
UGUGUCAUGCUUUUAAGUUUUACUACUGCCUCAGGGUGAAGUUUUGAGCUUUAAUCUUUCAAAUUUGCAUUGGAUCUGAUAAAAUAUCGAUCGCAUCUUAAAAUUGAACUAUUACUUGAUAAAUCAUGGCAACAAAAAAAUAGCGGAAGGAAGAAAUAGUUUUUAUGCCACACCUCGGGGCAUUAUAUUUUUGAGUCUGUGGGCGAUCGUUUGGUACGUCGUUUGUGU